RNAcentral lists this ribosomal RNA (484 nucleotides) under uncultured bacterium. RNAcentral's name for it is "partial 16S ribosomal RNA". It matches the Rfam family "Bacterial small subunit ribosomal RNA", at positions 30 to 507 of the family's 1533-position model. The record is from RNAcentral.
AUUGAACGCUGGCGGCAGGCCUAACACAUGCAAGUCGAGCGGAUGAAGGGAGCUUGCUCCUGGAUUCAGCGGCGGGCGGGUGAGUAAUGCCUAGGAAUCUGCCUGGUAGUGGGUGAUAACGUCCUGAAACGGGCGCUAAUACCGCAUACGUCCUGAGGGAGAAAGUGGGGGAUCUUCGGACCUCACGCUAUCAGAUGAGCCUAGGUCGGAUUAGCUAGUUGGUGGGGUAAAGGCCUACCAAGGCGACGAUCCGUAACUGGUCUGAGAGGAUGAUCAGUCACACUGGAACUGAGACACGGUCCAGACUCCUACGGGAGGCAGCAGUGGGGAAUAUUGGACAAUGGGCGAAAGCCUGAUCCAGCCAUGCCGCGUGUGUGAAGAAGGUCUUCGGAUUGUAAAGCACUUUAAGUCGGGAGGAAGGGCAGUAAGUUAAUACCUUGCUGUUUUGACGUUACCAACAGAAUAAGCACCGGCUAACUUCGUG